Molecule: ribosomal RNA, 497 nt
Filed under: uncultured bacterium
Lineage: Bacteria
Description: partial 16S ribosomal RNA
Rfam family: Bacterial small subunit ribosomal RNA
Source: RNAcentral
GAUGAACGCUGGCGGCGUGCCUAAUACAUGCAAGUCGAGCGAACAGACGAGGAGCUUGCUCCUCUGACGUUAGCGGCGGACGGGUGAGUAACACGUGGAUAACCUACCUAUAAGACUGGGAUACCUUCGGGAAACCGGAGCUAAUACCGGAUAAUAUUUUGAACCGCAUGGUUCAAUAGUGAAAGACGGUUUUGCUGUCACUUAUAGAUGGAUCCGCGCCGCAUUAGCUAGUUGGUAAGGUAACGGCUUACCAAGGCAACGAUGCGUAGCCGACCUGAGAGGGUGAUCGGCCACACUGGAACUGAGACACGGUCCAGACUCCUACGGGAGGCAGCAGUAGGGAAUCUUCCGCAAUGGGCGAAAGCCUGACGGAGCAACGCCGCGUGAGUGAUGAAGGUCUUCGGAUCGUAAAACUCUGUUAUUAGGGAAGAACAAAUGUGUAAGUAACUAUGCACGUCUUGACGGUACCUAAUCAGAAAGCCACGGCUAACUACGUG